AAACCAACAGGGAUUGCCUUAGUAGUGGCGAAUGAAGCGGCAAGAGCUCAAAUUUGAAAACUGGCAUCUUCGAUGUCCGUGUUGUAAUUUGAAGAAGAUAUUCUUGGGUUAGGUCCUUGUCUAUGUUCCUUGGAACAGGACGUCACAGAGGGUGAGAAUCCCGUGCGAUGAGGCCCCCUUUCCUAUGUAAGAUGUCUUCGAAGAGUCGAGUUGUUUGGGAAUGCAGCUCUAAGUGGGUGGUAAAUUCCAUCUAAAGCUAAAUAUUGGCGAGAGACCGAUAGCGAACAAGUACUGUGAAGGAAAGAUGAAAAGAACUUUGAAAAGAGAGUGAAAAAGUACGUGAAAUUGUUGAAAGGGAAGGGUAUUCGAUCAGACUGGUAUUUAGUUAUCAUUACUCCUUGUGGGUGGUGCUCUAACUUUUUACUGGGCCAGCAUCGGUUUUGAUGGUAAGAUAAUCGUAGUUGAAUGUGGCUCUUCGGAGUGUUAUAGCUUCUGCUGAUAUUACCUAUUGGGACCGAGGUCUGCGGCUUUGCCUAGGAUGCUGGCGUAAUGAUCCAAUACCGC
This 564-nucleotide ribosomal RNA is filed under the name Wenyingozyma methylovora. RNAcentral describes it as "eukaryotic LSU rRNA". It matches the Rfam family "Eukaryotic large subunit ribosomal RNA", at positions 62 to 648 of the family's 3401-position model. The record is from RNAcentral. Lineage: Eukaryota; Fungi; Ascomycota; Pichiomycetes; Pichiales; Pichiaceae.